This 254-nucleotide ribosomal RNA is filed under the name uncultured bacterium. RNAcentral's name for it is "partial 16S ribosomal RNA". It matches the Rfam family "Bacterial small subunit ribosomal RNA", at positions 524 to 776 of the family's 1533-position model. The record is from RNAcentral.
UACAGAGGUCUCAAGCGUUGUUCGGAUUCAUUGGGCGUAAAGGGUGCGUAGGUGGCGUGGUAAGUCGGGUGUGAAAUUUCGGAGCUUAACUCCGAAACUGCAUUCGAUACUGCUGUGCUUGAGGACUGGAGAGGAGACUGGAAUUUACGGUGUAGCAGUGAAAUGCGUAGAGAUCGUAAGGAAGACCAGUGGCGAAGGCGGGUCUCUGGACAAGUUCCUGACACUGAGGCACGAAGGCCAGGGGAGCAAACGGG